UGACCGUCGUGAGUCGCGCUCUUCAGCCCACCGCAAACCCACCUGCGGAGAAAAACAAAACAAACGCCGUUUAAUGCCUUCUGUUCACCGAGCGCCGACGCCGUCUUCCUCAGGUGCGGUGUCUGUGCAGGAGCGUGCAGAGCAGAGAUGGAAAUGAAUACCCGCCACCCGCAUUUUCCCUCUGGCGCUAAAUGUUGGAAGGCUACCCGUCACAUUGGCAGGAGGGUGUGAUGCUGCCGUACAGACGCACACGGCGUGAGCUGCUGGAUGUGGGGAAUGAAGCCGCCGCCAGCUGUUGUGUACAAAUCGUGACAUGAACACUGAGGCGCCCGCUGAGAGAGCGAAGCCUGCUGUUGACACAGUGAGUCCAACAGAGACAUAAAUACUGCAGCAAGUCUUCUUCUUCUUCUUGGUCUGUGAUUAUGUUCCCUGUUCUGAAGUGGAACGCUGCCCCAAAUCAUGAAACAGAAGCACAGAAAUCUUCGAGCCUGCUGCUCAAAUCUGAGGACAGCAGCAGUGGGGAUGUUGCAGUUAGCACUCGGACGAGACGUUCCCAUCUGUAAUUUAAUAAAGUAAUGUGACACACGCUGCUAAUCACUGCUGACGCUAACAAUGAAUGCGUUAAGUAGUGUUUGUAACUGAUGCUGUUUUUAAUCAAUGUCACAAGGUUCAAUUGAAGAAAUGAUGAAAUUCACUGUUAAUGUGUGGAAAUUGAUACACCAGCGCCGUAAAAAACAAUGGCAGGAGUAAUUACAGAGAUGUGAUGGUGGCGUUUCAGAUUAAUAAAAUCAUGAAUUGCAUUUUUAUAGCUCAUUUCAGAGCACCCAAGGACUCGUUACGAGAAAUAAAUCCUGAACAAAGACAUGUCUUCAUGGAGGCAGGAUUUAUUGCAGGACAGAUGUAUAACGCUGCAUUAGCUUUAGAUCUGUGAACCUGAUAAACUGACAGCUGCUGAAACAAAUAUUCUUCCAAUAGGUCGUCUAGACGAGCCGUGGCCUCACAUUGAUUACUCUAAACUUUAGCAUCGGGCUACAUGAACGCUCACCGUUGGCGUGAAUAUUUUAGUUUUCGUAAGAAAGCGAUGAGCAGUAGCAGCUGUAAAGCAUAAUGAUUGAUGAUUUAACUUAUUACCAAACCAGCGCUUACUGUACUCUUGAUGUAUGAGCUGCUAACAGUAACAUAAUGUGGGAAAUGUUUAAAACUGAAACAGUAAUCUUAGUCUGUAUAACAGAAGUGGGCGUAGCCGCCGUGACGUCACCCGUUGGUUUGUCGACUACCGCUUUGAAGCACUUUGGACGUCGCCAUCCUUGU
Micropterus salmoides (largemouth bass) is the source of this 1311-nucleotide long non-coding RNA. RefSeq lists it as uncharacterized. The record is from RefSeq and is a predicted model, not a curated record. Lineage: Eukaryota; Metazoa; Chordata; Actinopteri; Centrarchiformes; Centrarchidae. The transcript is spliced from 3 exons.